Molecule: ribosomal RNA, 497 nt
Filed under: uncultured bacterium
Lineage: Bacteria
Description: partial 16S ribosomal RNA
Rfam family: Bacterial small subunit ribosomal RNA
Source: RNAcentral
GAUGAACGCUGGCGGCGUGCCUAAUACAUGCAAGUCGAGCGAACAGACGAGGAGCUUGCUCCUCUGACGUUAGCGGCGGACGGGUGAGUAACACGUGGAUAACCUACCUAUAAGACUGGGAUAACUUCGGGAAACCGGAGCUAAUACCGGAUAAUAUAUUGAACCGCAUGGUUCAAUAGUGAAAGACGGUUUUGCUGUCACUUAUAGAUGGAUCCGCGCCGCAUUAGCUAGUUGGUAAGGUAACGGCUUACCAAGGCAACGAUGCGUAGCCGACCUGAGAGGGUGAUCGGCCACACGUGAACUGAGACACGGUCCAGACUCCUACGGGAGGCAGCAGUAGGGAAUCUUCCGCAAUGGGCGAAAGCCUGACGGAGCAACGCCGCGUGAGUGAUGAAGGUCUUCGGAUCGUAAAACUCUGUUAUUAGGGAAGAACAAAUGUGUAAGUAACUAUGCACGUCUUGACGGUACCUAAUCAGAAAGCCACGGCUAACUACGUG